GACGAACGCUGGCGGCGUGCUUAACACAUGCAAGUCGAACGGAAAGGCCCUGCUUUUGUGGGGUGCUCGAGUGGCGAACGGGUGAGUAACACGUGAGUAACCUGCCCUUGACUUUGGGAUAACUUCAGGAAACUGGGGCUAAUACCGGAUAGGAGCUCCUGCUGCAUGGUGGGGGUUGGAAAGUUUCGGCGGUUGGGGAUGGACUCGCGGCUUAUCAGCUUGUUGGUGGGGUAGUGGCUUACCAAGGCUUUGACGGGUAGCCGGCCUGAGAGGGUGACCGGCAACAUUGGGACGGAGAUACGGCCCAGACUCCUACGGGAGGCAGCAGUGGGGAAUAUUGCACAAUGGGCGGAAGCCUGAUGCAGCAACGCCGCGUGCGGGAUGACGGCCUUCGGGUUGUAAACCGCUUUCGCCUGUGACGAAGCGUGAGUGACGGUAAUGGGUAAAGAAGCACCGGCUAACUACGG
This 467-nucleotide ribosomal RNA is filed under the name uncultured bacterium. RNAcentral describes it as "partial 16S ribosomal RNA". It matches the Rfam family "Bacterial small subunit ribosomal RNA", at positions 28 to 506 of the family's 1533-position model. The record is from RNAcentral.